GAUGAACGCUAGCUACAGGCUUAACACAUGCAAGUCGUGGGGCAUCAUGAUGUAGUAAUACAUUGAUGGCGACCGGCGCACGGGUGAGUAACGCGUAUCCAACCUACCCUCCACUCAAGUAUAGGCUUCCGAAAGGGAGAUUAAUCCUUGAUAUCGUCAUUCUCUCUCCUGUUAGAAUGAUAAAAGGACAUCGUUUCGGUAGAGGAUGGGGAUGCGUUCCAUUAGGUAGUAGGUGGUUUAACAGGCCACCUAGCCGAUGAUGGAUAGGGGUUCUGAGAGGAAUAUCCCCCACACUGGUACUGAGAUACGGACCAGACUCCUACGGGAGGCAGCAGUGAGGAAUAUUGGUCAAUGGGCGCAAGCCUGAACCAGCCAUGUAGCGUGAAG
Molecule: ribosomal RNA, 387 nt
Filed under: Bacteroidetes bacterium oral taxon 272
Lineage: Bacteria; Pseudomonadati; Bacteroidota
Description: bacterial SSU rRNA
Rfam family: Bacterial small subunit ribosomal RNA
Source: RNAcentral